RNAcentral lists this transfer RNA (66 nucleotides) under Rhacophorus catamitus. RNAcentral's name for it is "tRNA-Tyr". It matches the Rfam family "tRNA". Rfam says of the family: Transfer RNA (tRNA) molecules are approximately 80 nucleotides in length. Their secondary structure includes four short double-helical elements and three loops (D, anti-codon, and T loops). Further hydrogen bonds mediate the characteristic L-shaped molecular structure. tRNAs have two regions of fundamental functional importance: the anti-codon, which is responsible for specific mRNA codon recognition, and the 3' end, to which the tRNAs corresponding amino acid is attached (by aminoacyl-tRNA synthetases). tRNAs cope with the degeneracy of the genetic code in two manners: having more than one tRNA (with a specific anti-codon) for a particular amino acid; and 'wobble' base-pairing, i.e. permitting non-standard base-pairing at the 3rd anti-codon position. Lineage: Eukaryota; Metazoa; Chordata; Amphibia; Anura; Rhacophoridae. The record is from RNAcentral.
AGGUAAAGUGGCUGAGCAAGUAGUGGGUUGUAGCCCCAAAGACAGAGGUUUAACCCUCUCUUUACC